AAGUCGUAACAAGGUCUCCGUAGGUGAACCUGCGGAGGGAUCAUUAACACGUUUAUUUCACUAUAAACGUAUCUAUACCAAACAAAUAGAAACGAAAGUAGACAGUUGAAGGGAAACCGAACACUAGAUACUUAGUCAUCCUCCCUACCUAUACUCAACCAUAGGUAGGCUAUUUAAUCAUUAACCCCUUUCCAACUAAAUACAAAAUUUCCAUGUCUUAUAUGUGAGUUCAUUUACUGAACUUCAACAUUGAUAUUUUAAUGUUAAAAGCACAACUCUUAGCAACGGAUAUCUUGGUUCUC
Molecule: unclassified non-coding RNA, 302 nt
Filed under: fungal sp.
Lineage: Eukaryota; Fungi
Description: partial internal transcribed spacer region
Rfam family: Eukaryotic small subunit ribosomal RNA (bases 1-46)
Source: RNAcentral